AGUCGACCUUGAGAGAGGAUCAGGGUGGAACUACUCUAAUCUCAUGAGCCCUUAGAAGCAGAGAAUUCCCCUGGCUGGAGGCAAAAGGAGACGUCAGAGAGAUUCAGCGUGUGAGAAGGAUUGAGCCUCAGCUGUGGAAGGCAGGAGAAGGAGAUGAAUCCUGCCAACAACACGAACGAGCUCGGGAGCAGAUUGUCCCCUGGACCCAUCAGAAACGAUCCCAGGCCGGCCGGCUCCUUCACUUUGGCCUGGUGACACCCUAAGCCAAGAACGCAUUCAAGCUGCCUGGACUCGUCACCUGCAGAACUGUGGGAUUGGAAGAUUCAAUAUUGUUACAAUGCUAAUACUCCCCAAAGAAAUCUACAGGUUCAUUGCAAUCCCAAUCAAAAUCCCAAUGACAUCUUUGGCAGAAAUAGGAAAAUACAUCCUAAAAUCCAUAUGGAAUCUCAAGAGACUGUGAAUAGCCAAAACAAUCUUGAAAAAGAAGAACAAAGUUGAAGGAUUCACAUUUCCUGAUUUCACAAUUUACUAUAAAUCAAAACAGUGUGGUACCGGCAUAAAGACAGACACAUCAACCAGUGGAAUAGAAUAAAGAUCGCAGAAACAAACCCAUAUGGGGUCAGACGAUUUUCAACAAGGAUCCCAAGACCAUUCGGUACGGGAAAGGCUAGACUUUGAAACAAGUGGUACUGGGAAAACUGGAUAUCCACAUGCAAAAGAAUAAAGUUAGACCUUUACCUAACACUAUAUACAAAAAUAACUCCAAAAUGGAUCAAGGACCAAACACAGCCGCUAAAACUAUAGAACUGUUAGAAGAAAACACAAGUCAAUGCCUCACAAUAUUGGAUUUGGCAGUGAUUUCUUAGAUAUGAAAUCAUAUCCAAGCACAGGCAUGGCCAACAAAAGAGAAAAAUAGACAAAUUGAACUUUGUAAAAAUUAAAAAGUUUUGUCCAUCACAGAACGCUGUCAACAGAGUUAAAAGGCAACCUACCGAAUAGGAGAAAAUAUUUGCCAACCGUCUAUCUGAUAAGGGUUUGAUAUCCAGAAUAUAUACAGAAUUCCUAAAACUCAACAACAAAAUAACUAAGACCGAGUAAAAGUUGGGCAAUGAAUUUGAAUAGAUAUUUCUCCAAAGAAGAUACACACAUGGCCAAUUAGCACAGGAAGAGAUGCUGAACAUCUCUAGUCAUCAGGGAAAUGCAAAUCAAAACCACAGUGAGAUACCACCUCACAUCCAUUAGGAGGGCUACUAUAAAAAAUUUUUUAAAAACCCACCAGAAAAGAGCAAGUGUUGGCAAGGAUGUAGAGAAAUUGGAACCCUUGUGCACUGUGCGUGGGAUUGUAAAAUGGUACAGGCGCUGUGGAAGACAGUGUGAUGGUUUCUCAAAAAAUUAAAGAUAGAAUUACUGUUUGAUCCAGCAACGCCACUUCUGGGAAUAUACUCGGGAGAAUCGAAAGCCGGGACUCCCAUCGAUAUUCGCACACCAGUCUUCAUAUCAGCGUUUUUCCACAGCAGCCAAAGGUGGAAACAACCCAAAUGCCCAGUGAUGAUGAAUGAGUAAACACAACACGGUGUCUACACCUGAGGAAAUGUUAUUCUGCAUUAAAAAGGAAGGAAAUCCUGCUGCAUGCUACGACACGGAUGGACCUCAAAGACAUUAGGCUAAGUGAAAUAAACCGGUUGCGAAAGGACAAAUAUUGCAUGAUUCCACUUAAAUAAGGUCCCUAGAGUAGUCAAAUAAGUAGAGAG
Equus caballus (horse) is the source of this 1751-nucleotide long non-coding RNA. Lineage: Eukaryota; Metazoa; Chordata; Mammalia; Perissodactyla; Equidae. The record is from Ensembl.